Molecule: transfer RNA, 74 nt
Organism: Winogradskyella sp. PG-2
Lineage: Bacteria; Pseudomonadati; Bacteroidota; Flavobacteriia; Flavobacteriales; Flavobacteriaceae
Rfam family: tRNA
About the family: Transfer RNA (tRNA) molecules are approximately 80 nucleotides in length. Their secondary structure includes four short double-helical elements and three loops (D, anti-codon, and T loops).
Source: Rfam
UGACGUGUAGCUUAACUGGCUAAAGCACUCGACUUUUAAUCGAGGUUAUGUGAGUUCGACUCUCACUACGUCAA